RNAcentral lists this long non-coding RNA (367 nucleotides) under Salvia miltiorrhiza (redroot sage). RNAcentral's name for it is "long non-coding RNA (SMIL_LNC012733)". Lineage: Eukaryota; Viridiplantae; Streptophyta; Magnoliopsida; Lamiales; Lamiaceae. The record is from RNAcentral.
ACAAUAUUGUCGUGAUUCUUUGGCAAAUUUGGCGGUAUCGAAAUGAAGCGGUUUGUAAGAACAAGUCACCUUAAUUUUUCCAAUCACAUGUGUUUGGCAAAUUUGGCGGUUUCGAUGUGGGGGUAGAUUUUUUUUUUUUUUCAAGCCUGAACACCACGGAAGUGGGUAUUAUUGUACAGAGCAACGAGAUGGAUCUUUUGUAGCUAUCAAAGUCUGCGUUUUUGUUGGUUGUCUGCGGGUCAACACGGGUGAAGCCAUGGAUUUGUAGGAGGCUCAGUCAUGGAUUAAGGACAUGCAUCUUGAUACUAUGGAGUUUUGAUGUGAUAGCAGAAUUGUUAUAGACAUUCUGGGUGAUCGAGAAAUAGAC